This 283-nucleotide long non-coding RNA is filed under the name Drosophila guanche. Lineage: Eukaryota; Metazoa; Arthropoda; Insecta; Diptera; Drosophilidae. The record is from RNAcentral.
GCUAAACUCACGCUGUCCCGCAGCUUAUAUUUUUUUUCACAUUCUCUCAUUCACACUCUGCUUCGGCCUCUGCCUCUGCCGCGAGUCUGCAGUGUGUUGGUCUAGGGAAGGGGGGCGAACUAAAGGAGCGUGUUGGUGUGAGAAGUGUUUUAGAUGUAGAUGACAGAUGAAAACAAAAUGUUAAAUUUGACAAAACACCGCUAAGGUGCAAAUGUAGUACUGAGUGCCGGGUAUAAAAGUUGUGACGCGUAAGAAGCGUCUCACUUCUAGUGUAAUUUCAAAG